GUACUUAGUUGCAGUCCACAAAUUGCAUGAGGAAAAGGUAUUAAAUGUACUUCCUAUAUGAUGAGUUUUAGGAUUCAGACUUUGACUUGCAGAGAAUGGGAUUUUAGAGUAUCUGCAUGUACACCUUAACACCUGAGAUGUUUCAAAUCAUCAUGGUGUUGAAUUUUUCAUCAAAGGUACCCACAUCCUAAACAAACCUGUGUUUCAAUAUUUGAUGGUCCACAUGUAACAGAAGACGGACAUCCCGCUGCACUGAAGAUGAACCUGUGAUUGAGAGCGCACACUUCUAGGAAAUACAACAUCCUCGUGAUGUGAUGCAGUUUAUAUCUGUGCUGAGAUCGUCUCGCUCUCACACGUAUCGUAUGAUUGUUGUCACUGAAUUUACUGCGCUUUGAUGACACACAGGGAUGCCGGCCCGAUCUCGCGGUCGGGGAUGGACACAUGAAUGCGCAGGAUGCAUGAGUGUAAACAAAUACAAAUAUCAACCUCUCCUCUGUCUAUCUGAUAAGCACAAACACACACACACUCUCAGCUCUAUCAGGCUCAUCUUACAGCCCGGACUGUCGCUCUUCAUUAGCUGCUUCACUGUCGGUUACUUUAUACAGAGUGAGUGCAGCUGAUCGGCAUCUCAGUCAAAAUAUGCAGGACACUAAAUACAGCUGAAGCCCACUGAUGUUAUGUUACAUGAUAUUAUACUCUAUGAAUAUUCAAAAUAACUGCACGAGCCACUUUGUCUGCAGGCUUACACUUGGAUAGUGGAUCUGACCUGAAUUCCUCUUGAAUGUUUAGUUACUAUUUUGGACCGUGAAGCAAAACAGACUCAUGAGGUCGAAAAGUGACUUUAGUUUGCACCGAAUGUUCACUGUGUGUCCUAUAAAUCCUUUACCUAAGGUUGUGUUUUGUCUUCGGUCUGCUUUCAAAGCUUUCUGCAGAUCAUCACAUCCAUCAGAUUUUCCAAGGCCGAUCACGAGGGCGGCAAAGUCCUUAAUAACCUCUGAGUAAAAUCUGACAAGUGAAACUGACACAUCCUGACACUUUGAUUGUCUAUCAGUCCAGUGAGUGACAUCUUCUUCAACUUGCUUUUACUUCAUGUGACUCUUACUGUCUCUCUUUAUGAUCAUCCUCUCGACAGUUUGUCUGUUUCUCUUUGUUUUUGUUUUUUAGAAAGCUUGUUGUCCCCGAGAAGAUUCCCCCUAAAGCCUGAAGUGUUUGCUGUCCGCGGUUUCAGUGCCUGGAUGCCCAGUUGAGUAUGAGCUUGAAUAAGCCCAAAACAAUGUCUGAUAGUUUUGAGAAGAAUAGUUCUUCUGACUGUACUGAAUCUUUAGAAUCUGUUCAUUAAAAUUAUUCGCUCAAAAGAUUCAUCUCCUGAAUCAGUCAGUGCUUUAGAGCCCCAUCCUGCCAGGUGCAGUUCAUGAGUGAGUGACAGCGGCGUAGAUCAAAAGUUCGUUCAUUGAGUGAGUUCCUCCCCUCCCCUGCUGCUGAAGUCUCAGCGUCGUUCACUGGGUGUAGCAUGUCGUUCGUUCGCCAAGUCGUGAAGGAAGAAUCACUCCCCCACCUCUCUGUGUGUCACCGACGUUCACAUCUCGAUUAAAACAACACAGAAACGAGAAUGAGUCGUCAUUCAUUUAUUUUGCAGAAAAGUGGAGAGAAUAAAAAUAAAUGAACAUCGUAGCUGUACCGUGGAUUCUGAUACUUUUAAAGAUAUCAAAUGGCAGUUCCUGGACAACGCUACACCCCUCCCUCCUCCACCUGCCUCAAGUCGUUCAGAAGUCAUUCGCUUGUUCACAGUCUGACUGAUACAUGUCAUUCAUUCGCUGUGAGCAAAUCACGAGACUCCGCCCGCCCGCCCGCUUGUUCUCUGGCUGGUUGUGUGUCGUUCAGCAAAGAGUCAAAGGCGGCAGUUCCACUCCCAACCGGUAUGCCACGCUCACGGCUGGGCUCAACUGAACUGAGAAAGGAACGAAUCAGGUCUCAGAGUGAUUCCAUUCACAUUGUUCACUCAGCAGUUCUGUUUUUUUGAAUGAAUCGUUCAUGAACAACACAAGAUUAAUGUUUGAGAACUGUAUGAAGAUAUCUAAAAACACGCCGUGAACGAGCGCAGACAGCUCAAAAGUUUGCUUUUCAGGAACGAUGCCUCUGAAGCAAACAACCCGUGUCUUUGUUUUCCCUGGGAGGUCAGUCUCACAUGAUUUGUUACCUGUAUGCCGUAACACGUGAAGCUGCAGAUGAACAACGGGGUAAUAACUAGAGGUUGAGACCUCCCAUCACUUUCCUCUGUCUUUUCCUCUGUGUCUUCCCCGUUAUUUCCAAGAAACAGCUGAAUCCCGCUGUGACCUUGCUCCGCUCGAUUCACCUCCGAGCUCCACCUCGCUGAGCAGUAAAAAAAAAAUGAAAUAAAAAAGAUAAGAGGCUAUCCGUCUUAGAGAGAGAGAAAAGGAGGACAAGCAGAAGAAAUGAAAGACAUCCUGGAUACGGAAGGAGGGGAAAGGGUGAGGAGAAAAAUUAAGGUGGAGAUAGACUAAAAACAGAGAAGGAGGAUGGAAGGAGAUGUGCGAUGAGGAAAAGAGUGAGGUGAGGGGACUUAAAGGAGUCAUAUGUCAAAAAGGAAAUAGAGGAGGAAAUGACAAAAGCAGAAGAUAAAGAAGAAGAGAAGAAGAAGAAAGGGGAGUUAACAUUUAUCACUGAAUUCAUAAAGAGCCUGUCAAUGCAAAGAUGGAGGGCGAGAAAAGGAGAGAAAGAGCGGUCGUGAGGCAGAAUAAAGGGCGGAGGAGCUCAGUAAAGGAUUCCAGUAUAUCAAUAUGAAAGAGGGAGAGACAGCUUUAAGUGAUUUAGUCAAUAAGAUGUUCUUCUGCCGGCCUUGACUCUCAGCUGCCUCACCGACUCCUGCUCCUCCUCACAUCCUUUUCUCUUUUUUUCAAACCUUUUAACCAGCCGCAGAGAAAUGACACGUUUCACAGGAGAAGGAGAGGAGGUCAAACCGUUUUACUGCUUAUAGCUUACAUAUAAAACCAGGCGCUGUCGUUUCAGGUUUACACCCAUGUCUCACAUGUCCGUCUACUGGAGUGAAUCAAGAGACGGAUUCCCGGGGGCUCUUCUGUCUUCUGUGUGUGCGACUCGUUUUGACCCCUUCAUGAGGAUGAAAUCAUUUACAGUUAAUAUUCUCCAUUAGAAAUGCCACAACCUGCAGUUUUAUGGGUUGUUGCCGCUGAGGUAUCCAGUUUGCAUGAUAUCAUAUCUGGAUGCUCAUACUCCCACACAUCUUAUUUGAUUUCUUCUGCAAGCUGCUGCCAAAAAUGGGGGUUGUAUUGGCUCUCUAACACCUCCUUUUAUGUCAUAUGCAUAUAGAUUAUUCGACGGUUGUACUUCUAGAGAGCUUCUCAAAGCAACAAACCAAUUUUUCUGUCUUUUUUUUCUGACCCUCUUGAUUUCACACGAUGCUUUUACUCUGAAGUUGUGUCCAAAAUUGUUAUUUAGUGAAUAAAGUAACUCACAGAGCUCUUUUCUGAAGCUUACACUGAACUUUGAUUGAAAAAAAUGAUCAUAAUUCACAUUGGCUGCAGGUAAGCUAUGUUAGUUAUUAAAGGGAUAUUCCAGCAUAAAUUUAAGUUAUGGUCAAACACACCAUAACACCGAGUUAGACACCCCCUCGAGAGAUGAAUGUUGCUAACUGCUUGCUUCUCUAGUUUUACCAACUUUAGUAACGACCGCAGGAUAGCAAUACAAGGAGCCACACACUCAACCAAAACGCCACUCUAUAGCCACAAAUAAUGCUCAGAACAGCACCUAACUUCAUCAUCAGUACAUAUAGGGUCCCAGCCAUAGUACUAGACACCAAACAUCUUUUUAACUUUGACUAAUUUCUUUAGCAAAGAGAGUAAACACAACUCACCUACUCUCCUCCAGCAGCUGCUUGUUUGUGGGGGAGCCCUGACGAUAAUCAUCAUAUUAAUCAUUUUGUACUGCAGACAUGGUAAUUCUUCUGCCUUAGCGUCUCGGUCUAAUUGCAUUUCCAUGAAGUAAUAAUUAUAAGUGUUCUUCCUUGAGCUGCGAAACUCCGCUGCACUCAGUGAUCAACUUGUCAGGGUGUAUUGCUAUCGUGUGGUCAUCACUGAAGUUGGUAUAACUAGAGAAGCAAACAGUCGGCAACAUUAAUCUCUCGACAGGGGUGUCUAGCUCUGCGUUACGAUGUGUUUGACCUUAACUUAAUUUUACGCCGGAAUAGCCCUUUAAUAACUACUUAAUACCAGUUCACAGGGACUUUUCCAUCUUUUGCAACUACCCUCUCUUUUUGCAGCCCUGCAACAGCUGACCCCUUAUCAUCCCUUUGAAAACAUGAUGUAAAACUCUUGAGAUGAUGCAAAGGCGCUGAUUUCUGGUGUGAGAGGUGUUCUAGUUUCGACAUCCAAGUUCAAGUAAUUCAGUUGGCUGUGAUUGUUUGUGUGUAACGAGCCUCUGUGGAGAGCAAAGAGAUGACAACCACGACACACAAUCUGGCAUUAUGAAACCAGGAUCCCAUCAACUGCCAUCUGACGCUGAUUAAUCUGUAAUUAAUCUAUAUAUCAACUCACAUCUGCAUGCAAGUGCUGCUCACAAACAGCUCAUGGGUUUGGUCUUAAUUCCUCGUUCAGUUUUGAGGUAAUUUUCUGCUAAUUUUUAACUCCUUUGUUUAUAAUUUGUCACUUCCUCAUAUGUUCUGGAGGUUUGUUUCACACUAACACCAGUUUAUCCCCGUUUAUGUAGGAAACGCCACACCAACAAGUCAUCAAAACUCUUCCAGAGGCUAAAAUUUGACUUAGUCUUCUGAAAAUACUCAAAUUACAAAAACUGCAAAGGCUUUUAAGACUCUAUUCAUGUUUUCAGUUCCCUCUCUAACCACACAUUUCGUCCCAAGCCUACCUCUGCAAAUCAGCUCUUAUUCCUCAAAAUGUGCUGAAGGAAUACAUUUGACUUGAUUUGCAUGAAAAUACUGAUUCUCAAGUCUUUAUUCAUUUUUCUUGUUUUAUCAUUUCCAAUGAUUAUCUAAAAAAGAGGCUGCAUGCUCUCAGGUCUCAUGUAGCAUCAUUUUUUGUCUCCUGACUCUUUAUGUAGAUCAAUCUUUGAACGCACAGAUGCAAAUAAAAGCAGGGUGCCUCAGGAUCACAAGAAAUUAGCAAAUGUAUCAGAAAAAUGCGUUCUUUACAGCGAAUGACUCAUGCGGAGAGGAGCAGAGGGAGCUGUGUGUGUGUGUGUGUGUGUGUGUGUGUGUGUGUGUGUGUGUGUGUGUGUGUGUGUGUGUGUGUGUGGUGUUUGUCAGUGGGUGAGAAAAUGUGCCGGUUUCAUUUUUUGAGAUUGCACAGAGAAGGAACACGGUGUGCAUUACAAACUCGGAGCAGUGGUGGAACUGAUUUCAGAUCAUUUCACACAUACAAACACACAAGUACGCAUGUGUUAACGCACGCUGGCAGAUCUGUGCACACACUUGUACAAAAGCACUUUUCACACAUAGUCUCACAAACACACACUCGCCGCUCACAGAGCCAGUGUCAGUGGAGGAGACAGAUGCAUGGUGACAGGGCUGCAGUGCUCUGGAUUAAUACACUUAGUGUUCCACAUGUCAAAGCGCAUCACUGCAAUCAUGAACAUUUUAGGCAUCUCUCUCUCUCUCUCUCUCUCUCUCUCUCUCUCUCUCUCUCUCUCUCUCUCUCUCUCUCUCUCUCUCUGUCAACCGUCCCUCUCUCUCUCUCCUUGAUUACUUCUAACGCCGAGACCAGCUGUCCAAUCAUUCAGCCAUCCAGCCAAGCAGUCGGUCACCCAGCAAACUGGCAAACAUCAAGCUGGCAGACCAACACCCACCAACCAGCGCACUCACGCUGGGGACGCCGACAACCUGCCACCGACAAAACAACCCAGCGCACCAAUGCACCCCAACAUCAGAGGACAAACAAGG
Non-coding RNA from Xyrichtys novacula (pearly razorfish), 5926 nucleotides. The record is from the annotation of a GenBank genome assembly. Lineage: Eukaryota; Metazoa; Chordata; Actinopteri; Labriformes; Labridae.